CCUACGGGAGGCAGCAGUGGGGGAUAUUGCACAAUGGGGGAAACCCUGAUGCAGCGACGCCGCGUGUGGGAAGACGGUCCUCUGGAUUGUAAACCACUGUCCCCAGGGACGAAGAUGACGGUACCUGGGGAGGAAGCUCCGGCUAACUACGUGCCAGCAGCCGCGGUAAUACGUAGGGGGCGAGCGUUGUCCGGAAUUACUGGGUCUAAAGGGCGCGUAGGCGGGGAUUGAAGUUGGGUGUCAAAACUACCGGCUCAACUGGUAGUCGCACUCAAAACUGCAGCUCUGGAGUGAAGUAGAGGCAGGUGGAAUUCCUAGUGUAGCGGUGAAAUGCGUAGAUAGUAGGAGGAACACCAGUGGCGAAGGCGGCCUGCUGGGCUUUUACUGACGCUGAGGCUCGAAAGUGUGGGGAGCAAACAGGAUUAGAUACCCUUGUAGUC
RNAcentral lists this ribosomal RNA (440 nucleotides) under uncultured bacterium. RNAcentral describes it as "partial 16S ribosomal RNA". It matches the Rfam family "Bacterial small subunit ribosomal RNA", at positions 338 to 795 of the family's 1533-position model. The record is from RNAcentral.